This 970-nucleotide ribosomal RNA is filed under the name uncultured bacterium. Its description in RNAcentral is "bacterial SSU rRNA". It matches the Rfam family "Bacterial small subunit ribosomal RNA", at positions 8 to 971 of the family's 1533-position model. The record is from RNAcentral.
AGAGUUUGAUCCUGGCUCAGAACGAACGCUGGCGGCGUGCUUAACACAUGCAAGUCGCGUGCGCAGUUCCUGUAGCAAUACGGGGAUGGGCGCACGGCGCACGGGUGCGUAACACGUGGGCAAUCUGCCCUCCGAUGGGGAAUAACCCCGCGAAAGCGGGGCUAAUUCCGCAUAACAUUCCUUGGACCAACGUUCGAGGAUUCAAAGCAGUAAUGCGUCGGAGGAGGAGCCCGCGCCCGAUUAGCUAGUUGGUGAGGUAACGGCUCACCAAGGCAAUGAUCGGUAGCUGGUCUGAGAGGAUGGCCAGCCACACUGGAACUGAGACACGGUCCAGACUCCUACGGGAGGCAGCAGUGGGGAAUCUUGCACAAUGGGCGAAAGCCUGAUGCAGCGACGCCGCGUGGGGGAUGAAGCUUCUCGGAGUAUAAACCCCUUUCGACUGGGACGAAUGCCUCGCAAGAGGAGUGACGGUACCAGUAUAAGAAGCCCCGGCUAACUACGUGCCAGCAGCCGCGGUAAGACGUAGGGGGCCAGCGUCGUUCGGAAUUACUGGGUGUAAAGGGUUCGUAGGCGGUGUGGCAAGUUGGGAGUGAAAUCUCUGGGCUUAACCCAGAGGCUGCUUCCAAAACUGCUGUGCUUGAGUGUGAGAGAGGCGCGUGGAAUUGCAGGUGUAGCGGUGAAAUGCGUAGAUAUCUGCAGGAACACCCGUGGCGAAAGCGGCGCGCUGGAUCACUACUGACGCUGAGGAACGAAAGCUAGGGGAGCAAACAGGAUUAGAUACCCUGGUAGUCCUAGCCCUAAACGAUCAGGACUUGGGGUGCCGCCCGUUCGGGCGUCGUCCCGGAGCUAACGCGUUAAGUCCUGCACCUGGGGGAGUACGGUCGCAAGACUGAAACUCAAAGGAAUUGACGGGGGCCCGCACAAGCGGUUGGAACAUGUGGGUUCAAUUCCGACGCUACGCGAAGGAACC